RNAcentral lists this ribosomal RNA (900 nucleotides) under Lactiplantibacillus plantarum. RNAcentral describes it as "bacterial SSU rRNA". It matches the Rfam family "Bacterial small subunit ribosomal RNA", at positions 533 to 1432 of the family's 1533-position model. The record is from RNAcentral. Lineage: Bacteria; Bacillati; Bacillota; Bacilli; Lactobacillales; Lactobacillaceae.
CCGUGGCGGUUCUCCGGACUAUUGCGCGUAAACGAGCGCACAGCGGUUUUUUAAGUCUGAUGUGAUAGCCUUCGGCUCCACCGAAGAAGUGCAUCGAGAAACUGGGAAACUUGAGUGCAGAGUAGGACAGAGGAACUCCAUGUGUAGCGGUGAAAUGCGUAGAUAUAUGGAAGAACACCAGUGGCGAAGGCGGCUGUCUGGUCUGUAACUGACGCUGAGGCUCGAAAGUAUGGGUAGCAAACAGGAUUAGAUACCCUGGUAGUCCAUACCGUAAACGAUGAAUGCUAAGUGUUGGAGGGUUUCCGCCCUUCAGUGCUGCAGCUAACGCAUUAAGCAUUCCGCCUGGGGAGUACGGCCGCAAGGCUGAAACUCAAAGGAAUUGACGGGGGCCCGCACAAGCGGUGGAGCAUGUGGUUUAAUUCGAAGCUACGCGAAGAACCUUACCAGGUCUUGACAUACUAUGCAAAUCUAAGAGAUUAGACGUUCCCUUCGGGGACAUGGAUACAGGUGGUGCAUGGUUGUCGUCAGCUCGUGUCGUGAGAUGUUGGGUUAAGUCCCGCAACGAGCGCAACCCUUAUUAUCAGUUGCCAGCAUUAAGUUGGGCACUCUGGUGAGACUGCCGGUGACAAACCGGAGGAAGGUGGGGAUGACGUCAAAUCAUCAUGCCCCUUAUGACCUGGGCUACACACGUGCUACAAUGGAUGGUACAACGAGUUGCGAACUCGCGAGAGUAAGCUAAUCUCUUAAAGCCAUUCUCAGUUCGGAUUGUAGGCUGCAACUCGCCUACAUGAAGUCGGAAUCGCUAGUAAUCGCGGAUCACAUGCCGGGGGAAAAACCUUUCCCGGGCCUUGUACACACCGCCCGUCACACCAUGAGAGUUUGUAACACCCAAAGUCGGUC